This 552-nucleotide ribosomal RNA is filed under the name uncultured bacterium. RNAcentral's name for it is "bacterial SSU rRNA". It matches the Rfam family "Bacterial small subunit ribosomal RNA", at positions 355 to 896 of the family's 1533-position model. The record is from RNAcentral.
UAGGGAAUCUUCCGCAAUGGGCGAAAGCCUGACGGAGCAACGCCGCGUGAGUGAUGAAGGUCUUCGGAUCGUAAAACUCUGUUAUUAGGGAAGAACAUAUGUGUAAGUAACUGUGCACAUCUUGACGGUACCUAAUCAGAAAGCCACGGCUAACUACGUGCCAGCAGCCGCGGUAAUACGUAGGUGGCAAGCGUUAUCCGGAAUUAUUGGGCGUAAAGCGCGCGUAGGCGGUUUUUUAAGUCUGAUGUGAAAGCCCACGGCUCAACCGUGGAGGGUCAUUGGAAACUGGAAAACUUGAGUGCAGAAGAGGAAAGUGGAAUUCCAUGUGUAGCGGUGAAAUGCGCAGAGAUAUGGGAGGAACCCCCAGUGGCGAAGGCGACUUUCUGGUCUGUAACUGACGCUGAUGUGCGAAAGCGUGGGGAUCAAACAGGAUUAGAUACCCUGGUAGUCCACGCCGUAAACGAUGAGUGCUAAGUGUUAGGGGGUUUCCGCCCCUUAGUGCUGCAGCUAACGCAUUAAGCACUCCGCCUGGGGAGUACGACCGCAAAGUUG